RNAcentral lists this ribosomal RNA (486 nucleotides) under Spirochaetales bacterium canine oral taxon 373. Its description in RNAcentral is "bacterial SSU rRNA". It matches the Rfam family "Bacterial small subunit ribosomal RNA", at positions 9 to 472 of the family's 1533-position model. The record is from RNAcentral. Lineage: Bacteria; Pseudomonadati; Spirochaetota; Spirochaetia; Spirochaetales.
GAGUUUGAUUCUGGCUCAGAACGAACGCUAGCGGCGCGUUUUAAGCAUGCAAGUCGAACGGGGAUAUUAGGAGCAAUUCUAUUAUUCCAGUGGCAAACGGGUGAGUAACACGUGGAUAAUCUGCCCUCAAGACCUGGAUAGCCCGCAGAAAUGCGGAUUAAUACGGGAUGUGGUACCGUAUCAUGAGGAUAUGGGGAUUAAAGGUAGGGACCGCAAGGCCUGCCGCUUGGGGAGGAGUCCGCGGCCCAUUAGCUUGUUGGUGGGGUAAAGGCCUACCAAGGCGACGAUGGGUAGCCGGCCUGAGAGGGUGAGCGGCCACAUUGGGACUGAGACACGGCCCAGACUCCUACGGGAGGCAGCAGCUAAGAAUCUUCCGCAAUGGGCGAAAGCCUGACGGAGCGACGCCGCGUGGACGAAGAAGGUCUUCGGAUUGUAAAGUCAUUUCGGGGAGGAAGAAUAAGCGCAGAGGAACAGGCUGCGUGAUGA